Molecule: ribosomal RNA, 542 nt
Filed under: uncultured bacterium
Lineage: Bacteria
Description: bacterial SSU rRNA
Rfam family: Bacterial small subunit ribosomal RNA
Source: RNAcentral
AAUAGAUACCCGGGUAGUCCACGCCGUAAACGAUGUCGACUUGGAGGUUGUUCCCUUGAGGAGUGGCUUCCGGAGCUAACGCGUUAAGUCGACCGCCUGGGGAGUACGGCCGCAAGGUUAAAACUCAAAUGAAUUGACGGGGGCCCGCACAAGCGGUGGAGCAUGUGGUUUAAUUCGAUGCAACGCGAAGAACCUUACCUACUCUUGACAUCCACGGAACUUUUCAGAGAUGAAUUGGUGCCUUCGGGAACCGUGAGACAGGUGCUGCAUGGCUGUCGUCAGCUCGUGUUGUGAAAUGUUGGGUUAAGUCCCGCAACGAGCGCAACCCUUAUCCUUUGUUGCCAGCGGUUAGGCCGGGAACUCAAAGGAGACUGCCAGUGAUAAACUGGAGGAAGGUGGGGAUGACGUCAAGUCAUCAUGGCCCUUACGAGUAGGGCUACACACGUGCUACAAUGGCGCAUACAAAGAGAAGCGACCUCGCGAGAGCAAGCGGACCUCAUAAAGUGCGUCGUAGUCCGGAUUGGAGUCUGCAACUCGACUCC